CAAUUGGACUUCCUCAGGGACUUGGUGAAAACAAAUACAAUAAUAAUAGCAGCAGCAAUAAAAACUAUCCCUCCCACAGGCAUAUAGAAUUUUAGUAGAUACAGAUACUUAUAUCAAACUUACAGGAGAUCCAACUAAAAAAUUUAAUACCAUUCUUGGAUCCUUAUUGGAUCAAGCAUACAAAAAUGGUAUAAUUUCUAAAAACAAUAAGGAAUAUCUUUUCAAUAAUUUUCCAAUAAUACCCAUUUUUUAUUUUCUCCCUAAAUUACAUAAGAACCCAAUAACACCUCCAGGUAGGCCAAUCAUCAGUGGCAUUAAAGGACCACUCUAGGCACCCAGACCACUUCAGCUUAAUGAAGUGGUCUGGGUGCCAGGUCCAGCUAGGGUUAACCCAUUUUUUUAUAAACAUAGCAGUUUUAGAGAAACUGCUAUGUUUAUAAAUGGGUUAAUCCAGCCCUCAAAUCCUGUAGUGGCUGUCUCAUUGACAGCCGCUAGAGGCGCUUGCGUGAUUUUCCCUGUGAAAAUCAGAGUGAGAACACGCAGGCGUCCAUAGGAAAGCAUUGUAAAUGCUUUCCUAUGAGACCGGCUGAAUGCGCGUGCAGCUCUUGCCGCGCGUGCGCAUUCAGCCGAAAGGGAGGACAGGAGGAGGAUCGGAGGCGGAGAGCUCCCCGCCCGGCGCUGGAGAAAGGUAAGUUUUAACCCCUUUCCUCUCCCCAGAGCCGGGCUGGAGGGGGACCCUGAGGGUGGGGGCACCCUCAGGGCACUAUAGUGCCAGGAAAACGAGUAUAUUUUCCUGGCACUAUAGUGGUCUUUUAACUCUAUCUGCUCAUUUAUCUGAAUUUGCAGACCAUCAUCUUCAAAGAUAUGCUCAGGAAGCACCCUCUUAUUUAAAAGACACUGCUCAUGUUUUGAGAAUUGUGGAAGAUGUAGUCUGGGAACCAGAUUAUGUUUGGGUAACCAUAGAUGUUACCUCAAUAAUAAAGCACAAUAAGGGUUUAGUUGCAGUGGAAUGGAUCAUAGAGAGAGAUGAAAAUGUUUCAUUAAAUUUUCGUAAUUCAUUUUGAACAGUAUUCACUAUAUCCUUAAACAUAAUUACUUUUUCUUUGAUGACUCAUUCUAUCUCCAGACCGCUGGUACAGCCAUGGGGACCAGGUUCGCCCCCAGCUAUGCAAACAUAUAUAUGUGGGAUUGGGAAUCCAACCACAUAUGGAGUGGGCAUGGCGAACCUGGUCCUAUGGAAACGUUUUAUUGACAAUAUAAUAAUGAUCUGGCGAGGUUCACAAGAGGAACUACCAUUGUUUCUAGACUACAUCCAUCAAAUUCUGAAAUUCACAUAUGAAAUAAACACCACUACUAUCAAUUUUUAAGACCUAAGUCUCUUUAUAGAAAAUAAUCAGAUUCAAUCAAAAUGUUAUUUUAAAAAAAUGGAGGGUAACAGCUAUAUACAUAGAAAAAGCUGCCAUAAAGAUAAAUGGUUGGAAACAAUUCCAAAAAGUCAGUUAAUACGGGUCAGAAGAAACUGUACAAAAAAUUCAGACUAUAGAGAGCAAGCUAAGCAUUUGAAAAAUAAAUUUGUGGCAAAGAAAUAUGAAUCAACAUUGUUAGAUAAAGAAAUAAAAGAAAUAGAAAAAAAGAACAGGAGAGAUUUGAUAGUAUCUAACCCUAAAAGACCUUCCAAAAAUAAUUAAAAUUUUUCUUUCACCACACAAUACAAUACACAAAAUAGGAAAAUAAAAAAGAUUCUCAAUAAACAUUGGAACAUUUUGCGCAAAGAUCCCAUUUUGGGCAAAGUGUUACCGAAAAAAACACCAGUUAUUUUUAGGAGAACAAAAAAUUUGAGAAACUUAUUAGCACCCAGUUACGCAUUAAAAAUCCCACGUAAAGGUAUGACCUAUAAUAUCAGUGGUUUCAAUCCUUGUAACUCUUAUAAAGCAUAUAAAAAUCAAAAAUUCAUACAAAAGAGAGAAUUUAUGAGUUUCACCACAAAAGAAAGAUUUAAAAUAAAAUCCAACAUAAAUUGCAAUACAAGAAAUGUAGUGUACAUGCUACAAUGCCCAUGUGGGAAACAAUAUGUGGGAAGAACGUGUAGAAAGUUAAAAGAAAGAAUAUUAGAACAUCAGCAUAAUAUUAGAAAAAUUCAACCAAACAUAUAGUACCUUUACAUUGCAAUACUUGCAAUAAAUUUGAUUGGCGGAGUUUCACCUUCGUGGGCAUUGAGCGUGCGGACCACUACUGGAGAGGAGGGGAUUUAACCAAAAUGCUCUCACAGAGAGAAACCUUUUGGAUAAAUAAGUUAAAGACACUUCAACCCUUCAGUUUAAAUUUGGAUAUUGAUUUGUGGAGCUUUUUUGAAGAUUAAAUAAAUAUUUUUUUCUCUUUUUUGGAGUGUUUGGGGGAAUAUUGCACUCUUUCUUCAUUCUCAAACUAAGGAUUUUUUAUUUUUCAUUUUUUUUAUUUACUUAUUUUUUAUAUUUAUAUUUUCAUUUUUU
This is a non-coding RNA of Pelobates cultripes (western spadefoot toad), 2489 nucleotides long. The record is from the annotation of a GenBank genome assembly. NCBI's taxonomy places the organism in Eukaryota, Metazoa, Chordata, Amphibia, Anura, Pelobatidae.